CACACCGCCCGUCACACCAUGGGAGUUGGUCUUACCCGACGGCGCUGCGCCAACUUAGCAAUAAGGGGCAGGCGACCACGGUAGGGUCAGCGACUGGGGGUG
Molecule: ribosomal RNA, 102 nt
Filed under: uncultured bacterium
Lineage: Bacteria
Description: partial 16S ribosomal RNA
Source: RNAcentral